AUGCAUUGCGCCUCCAUAAUUGGUAAGCACUGUUACAUCAGUAGACUGCAUUGAUACGUCAUUGGGGAAACAAUGUGUUUUCCAACCUUUUCUUUGACAAAUACUGUAUAUGAACACAAUGGGUUUAUAUAUGAUUGCCUGGUUAGCGUUUUCCUAUUUGUUAAUGAAGGUACAAGUUUCUUAUUUGGGGGAUCUCUGAUACUCAACUCUUCAUUUUGCCAUGCUGUACCCUUUUCGACACGACACAACAUGUGACAUGACAUGGAAUAUGUGUCUGAUACACAUUCAUAUAGUCAGACACUCAAGUGAUAGAGAUCUGUCAAGAUAAAAAGCAUACUAAAUUAAAGGAUAGGUAAAAUAAAGUUAAAAAGAGAAUGCAAUUUUGAAUUAAAGGAUAGGUACAAA
RNAcentral lists this unclassified non-coding RNA (405 nucleotides) under Hevea brasiliensis (rubber tree). The record is from RNAcentral. Lineage: Eukaryota; Viridiplantae; Streptophyta; Magnoliopsida; Malpighiales; Euphorbiaceae.